Molecule: ribosomal RNA, 468 nt
Filed under: uncultured bacterium
Lineage: Bacteria
Description: partial 16S ribosomal RNA
Rfam family: Bacterial small subunit ribosomal RNA
Source: RNAcentral
GACGAACGCUGGCGGCGUGCUUAACACAUGCAAGUCGAACGGAAAGGCCCUGCUUUUGUGGGGUGCUCGAGUGGCGAACGGGUGAGUAACACGUGAGUAACCUGCCCUUGACUUUGGGAUAACUUCAGGAAACUGGGGCUAAUACCGGAUAGGAGCUCCUGCUGCAUGGUGGGGGUUGGAAAGUUUCGGCGGUUGGGGAUGGACUCGCGGCUUAUCAGCUUGUUGGUGGGGUAGUGGCUUACCAAGGCUUUGACGGGUAGCCGGCCUGAGAGGGUGACCGGCCACAUUGGGACUGAGAUACGGCCCAGACUACUACGGGAGGCAGCAGUGGGGAAUAUUGCACACUGGGCGGCAGCCUGAUGCAGAAACGCCGCGUGCGGGAUGACGGCCUUCGGGUUGUACACCGCUUUCGCCUGUGACGAAGCGUGAGUGACGGUAAUGGGUAAAGAAGCACCGGCUAACUACGUG